Molecule: ribosomal RNA, 499 nt
Filed under: uncultured bacterium
Lineage: Bacteria
Description: partial 16S ribosomal RNA
Rfam family: Bacterial small subunit ribosomal RNA
Source: RNAcentral
AUUGAACGCUGGCGGUAUGCUUAACACAUGCAAGUCGAACGAUGAGAAAGAGCUUGCUCUUUCGAUUAGUGGCGGACGGGUGCGUAACGCGUAGGAAUCUACCUAUUAGUGGGGGACAACUUAGGGAAACUUAAGCUAAUACCGCAUACGCCCUACGGGGGAAAGAAGGGGAUCGCAAGACCUUUUGCUAAUAGAUGAGCCUGCGUAGGAUUAGCUAGUUUGUGGGGUAAAAGCUCACCAAGGCGACGAUCCUUAACUGGUUUGAGAGAAUGAUCAGUCACACUGGAACUGAGACACGGUCCAGACUCCUACGGGAGGCAGCAGUGGGGAAUAUUGGACAAUGGGCGAAAGCCUGAUCCAACAAUACCGCGUGUGUGAAGAAGGCCUUAGGGUUGUAAAGCACUUUCAAUUGGAAGGAAAACCUCGAAGCUAAUACCUUCGAGUUUGACAUUACCUUUAGAAGAAGCACCGGCUAACUCCGUGCCAGCAGCCGCCGUAA